UACGUAGGGGGCAAGCGUUGUCCGGAUUUAUUGGGCGUAAAGAGCGUGUAGGCGGCCAGGUAGGUCUGCUGUGAAAAUUCGAGGCUUAACCUCGAGCUGUCGGCGGAAACCAUCUGGCUAGAGUCCGGAAGAGGAGAAUGGAAUUCCCGGUGUAGCGGUGAAAUGCGCAGAUAUCGGGAAGAACACCCGUGGCGAAGGCGGUUCUCUGGGACGGUACUGACGCUGAGGAGCGAAAGCGUGGGGAGCGAACAGG
RNAcentral lists this ribosomal RNA (253 nucleotides) under uncultured bacterium. RNAcentral describes it as "partial 16S ribosomal RNA". It matches the Rfam family "Bacterial small subunit ribosomal RNA", at positions 524 to 776 of the family's 1533-position model. The record is from RNAcentral.